GCCAGAGCGGCAUAGUGGUUUGAAUAUUGGACUACAACUCUGGAGAGCAGGGUUCGAUUCCCCGCUCAGCCA
Molecule: transfer RNA, 72 nt
Filed under: Phrynosoma platyrhinos (Desert horned lizard)
Lineage: Eukaryota; Metazoa; Chordata; Lepidosauria; Squamata; Phrynosomatidae
Description: tRNA-OTHER
Source: RNAcentral